GAUGAACGCUAGCGAUAGGCCUAACACAUGCAAGUCGAGGGGCAUCACAUGAAGUAGCAAUACGGAUGGUGGCGACCGGCGCACGGGUGAGUAACACGUAUGCAACCUGCCUUCAACAAGGGGAUAACCCGUUGAAAGACGGACUAAUACCCUAUAACACAGGGGUCCCGCAUGGGAAUAUUUGUUAAAGGACAACCGGUUGAAGAUGGGCAUGCGUUCCAUUAGCUAGUUGGCGGGGUAACGGCCCACCAAGGCAACGAUGGAUAGGGGAACUGAGAGGUUUAUCCCCCACACUGGUACUGAGACACGGACCAGACUCCUACGGGAGGCAGCAGUGAGGAAUAUUGGUCAAUGGACGCAAGUCUGAACCAGCCACGUCGCGUGAAGGAAGACGGCCCUAGGGUGUAAACUUCUUUUAUACGGGAAUAAAGUGCCCCACGCGUGGGGUUUUGCAUGUACCGUAUGAAUAAGGAUCGGCUAACUCCGUG
Molecule: ribosomal RNA, 488 nt
Filed under: uncultured bacterium
Lineage: Bacteria
Description: bacterial SSU rRNA
Rfam family: Bacterial small subunit ribosomal RNA
Source: RNAcentral